GACAGAGGUGGCAAGCGUUGUUCGGAAUUACUGGGCUUAAAGGGCGCGUAGGUGGUGAUGUAAGUCCGGGGUGGAAGGCUAAGGCUUAACCUUAGGAUUGCCCUGGAAACUAUAUUACUUGAGUCAGACAGGGGAUGGCGGAAUUCCUGGUGUAGCGGUGAAAUGCGUAGAUAUCAGGAGGAAGGCCGGUGGCGAAGGCGGCCAUCUGGGUCUGAACUGACACUGAGGCGCGAAAGCGUGGGGAGCAAAC
This 250-nucleotide ribosomal RNA is filed under the name uncultured bacterium. Its description in RNAcentral is "partial 16S ribosomal RNA". It matches the Rfam family "Bacterial small subunit ribosomal RNA", at positions 524 to 773 of the family's 1533-position model. The record is from RNAcentral.